GACGAACGCUGGCGGCGUGCUUAACACAUGCAAGUCGAACGGAAAGGCCCUGCUUUUGUGGGGUGCUCGAGUGGCGAACGGGUGAGUAACACGUGAGUAACCUGCCCUUGACUUUGGGAUAACUUCAGGAAACUGGGGCUAAUACCGGAUAGGAGCUCCUGCUGCAUGGUGGGGGUUGGAAAGUUUCGGCGGUUGGGGAUGGACUCGCGGCUUAUCAGCUUGUUGGUGGGGUAGUGGCUUACCAAGGCUUUGACGGGUAGCCGGCCUGAGAGGGUGACCGGCCGCAUUGGGACUGAGAUACGGCCCAGACUCCUACGGGAGGCAGCAGUGGGGAAUAUUGCACAAUGGGCGGAAGCCUGAUGCAGCAACGCCGCGUGCGGGAUGACGGCCUUCGGGUUGUAAACCGAUUUCGCCUGUGACGAAGCGUGAGUGACGGUAAUGGGUAAAGAAGCACCGGCUAACUACGUG
RNAcentral lists this ribosomal RNA (468 nucleotides) under uncultured bacterium. RNAcentral describes it as "partial 16S ribosomal RNA". It matches the Rfam family "Bacterial small subunit ribosomal RNA", at positions 28 to 507 of the family's 1533-position model. The record is from RNAcentral.